Molecule: long non-coding RNA, 4434 nt
Filed under: Olea europaea subsp. europaea
Lineage: Eukaryota; Viridiplantae; Streptophyta; Magnoliopsida; Lamiales; Oleaceae
Source: RNAcentral
CAGGGAUUUAAUAUUAACAUAUGAAUUUUGCUAUUUGUACCUUGGCAUAAUUCAUCUAGCAAAUGGGUAAAUGAGUUUAAAAAAUGGGUAACCUAAUCCGGAUCCAACAAAAAUAAUACCCGGUAAUCCAAAAUUGAUAUCAAUUAUCAUUUCCGUUGCCCGCGAGUUUCUCUCAAUCCCAAUAAUGAAAUCGUUGUACCACCCAUCCAAAAUUCUUUCGUUAGUUCUGGUGGGCACUAUCCAACCGCGAGAUAUUUGAUAGCACAGAGCCGAAACUUAUUGGACGAAAAAGCAAUGAGGUUCACGCUAAAAGCAAACAAUAAGCUGAAAUCUUCACUGAUUCGAAGUGACGACUGACAAAGGUAUUUCCUGUCCUCAUUUUAAUGUGAAAAUUGGGGUGGGUGACGACAAAUUUCAAACGGAAUAUAAUAUUAUGAUCAACUGUGAAUAUGUUAAAAAUAUGUAACUACGCUAUGAAUAUGCUAAAAAUCUAUAAACCCAUUCCUAAUCCAAAAAUUCAUGCCAAUCAUUUUGUUUCUUUAAUUAUCUUUUAGGUUGAUAUAUAAUGAUAAGCGAUUAGUGUUUGGAGGUGUAUUGAUACAACGAAGCAUUGACCCCGUGUUAGAUUGAAUGAGUAUCUUGUAUCAAUUGAUGAUGUAGGGAAAGGAAUUUCGAAAGAGGUAGAUGACAAUAUCUUGUUAGAAUUUGAUAAUGAGAACAUUUUGCACAGCAUGAACUUAGUGGAUGAUGGAAUUAUUCGGGUAGAUGUUGCGAUUGUGUUUGAGGUGGGAAUGAAGUUCAGCAAUAACAAAAAAAAAAUGUAUAAUUUUUGCAAAAGAUAUGCGUGCAACAUAGGAUUCCCAGUUAGGAAAAGAAAUUCAUAAAAAGAUGAUGAUGAAGUUGUGAGAUAUGUUGUGUUCACAUAUAUCCGCGAAAGCCGAAGAAACAACAAUACAAGUGAUUCUUUGAUAGUGCAAGCUACCAUUCAAACAGGUUGUGAAGCUAGAUUGAUUGCAUCUACAUAUGCAUGUGGGAUAUAGAGAAUUAACGUAGUCAAUCUCAUUCACAAUCAUAAAAUAAGUUCUUCAAAGUCUAGGUUGUAUCAUUGUAAUCGAGAAUUAAAUACCCAUGUUAAACGAUGGGUUGAAGUGAACGAUAUGGCUAAGAUCUCUUUGCACAAAAGUUACAACUCCGUAGUUAUAGAAGCAGGUGGGUAUGAGAAUAUAACUUGCGUGAAAAAUGAUUGUUGAAAUUAUGUUGAACAAGUGAGGUGGUUAAGACUUUAGGAAUGAGAUGCACGAGCAAUACAAUCUUACUUCUCGGACAUGCAAGCAAGGUGCUAGGGAUAUUACUUUAGUAUGGAUCUAGAUGACAAAUCGCUGCUGACGAAUAUUUUUGGACAGAUAAUAGGAGCAGACAAGCAUAUAAGGAGUUCGAAAACAUUAUAACAUUUGAUAGCAAGUUAGAUUGGAGGUGUAUUGAAACAAUGAAGCAUUGACACCGUGUUAGAUUGAAUGAGUAUCUUGUAUCAAUUGAUGAUGCAGGGAAAGGAAUUUCGAAAGAGGUAGAUGACAAUAUCUUUCUAAAAUUUGAUAAUGAGAACAUUUUGCACAGCAUGGACUUAGUGGAUGAUGGAAUUAUUCGGGUAGACGGUGCGAUUGAGUCUGAGGUGGGAAUGAAGUUCAGCAAUAACAAAAAAAAAAUGUAUAAUUUUUGCAAAAGAUAUGCGUGCAACAUACGAUUCCCAGUUAGGAAAAGAAAUUCACAAAAAGAUGAUGAUGAAGUUGUGAGAUAUGUUGUGUUCACAUAUAUCCGCGAAAACCGAAGAAACAACAAUACAAGCGAUUCUUUGAUAGUGCAAGCUACCAUUCAAACAUGUUGUGAAGCUAGAUUGAUUGCAUCUACAGAUGCAUGUGGGAUAUAGAGAAUUAACGUAGUCAAUCUCAUUCACGAUCAUAAAAUAAGUUCUUCAAAGUCUAGGUUGUAUCAUUGUAAUCGAGAAUUAAAUACCCAUGUUAAACGAUGGGUUGAAGUGAACGAUAUGGCUAAGAUCUCUUUGCACAAAAGUUACAACUCCGUAGUUAUAGAAGCAGGUGGGUAUGAGAAUAUAACUUGCGUAAAAAAUUAUUGUUGAAAUUAUGUUGAACAAGUGAGGUGGUUAAGACUUUAGGAAUGAGAUGCACGAGCAAUACAAUCUUACUUCUUGGACAUGCAAGCAAGGUGCUAGGGAUAUUACUUUAGUAUGGAUCUAGACGACAAAUCGCUGCUGACGAAUAUUUUUGGACAGAUAAUAGGAGCAGGCAAGCAUAUAAAGAGUUCGACAACAUUAUAACAUUUGAUAGCACGUACGCAACUAAUAAGUAUGACAUUCCGUUUGCACUUUGGUUGAAGUUAAUCAUCACGGACAUUCAACACUAUUUAAUUGUGGUUUGAUGUCGAAUGAAAAUAUAGAAAUAUUUGUAUAGCUGUUCAAGAUUUGGUUGUAGUGCAUGCAUGGCCAAGCAUCCCAUAGGAUUAUUGCAGAUCAAGACAAUGCCAUGCAGAAUGUAAUUCAGAUCGUUUUUCUAAACACGAAGCAUUGAUAAUAUUUGUGGCAAUAUUGAAAAAGUUACCGAAAAAGUUUGGAUACCACGUGGAUAAGGGUGGAAUUGUUGCUACUAUACACGUAUUGGUGUAUGAUUCUCAAACUGUUGAAAAACUUGAAUAAGGUUGGGAGUGAUAAUCGAUACAUAUAACUUCCACGAUAAUGAUUGGUUGUCGAGAAUGUACUCGAACAGAGGCUGUUAGGUACAUUGCUAUUUAAAAAGCGCUUUUUUGGGCAGGAAUGCCAACAAUUCAACAUAAUGAGAGCAUACAUGCACUAUUCGAUAGGUAUGUGUAUUUAAAGAUGUCGUUGAAGCAAUCUGCCAAACAAUACGAGCGAGCAUUGAGAAAUGAGGCAGAAAAGGAGUUUCGGGUAGAUUUCAAGUUAUACUUGCAAUAGUACCAUGUGCAACAAUGUAAGAGAUGGAGAAGCACUUUCAACUAGUUUAUACCAUUUUGAAAUUCAGGAAAGUUCAUGAUAAAUUCAUUGGGAAGGUUUAUUGUGACCUAAUUUCUUCUUUAGAGGGCUUUACGGGGACGGUGUAUGAGUUAUAGGAGGAUGUCACAGGAUCGAAGUAUUAUAAAAAAAAAAUUCAUCACAUUUUAGAAAAAGAAAUGUAAAUUUGCUUGCAGUUGCCACUUAUUCGAGUUUUAAGGAAUAAUUUGCAAGCAUGCAAUUGUUGUACUUAUCCAUAAAAACAUCACAGCACCAUCGAACAAAUACAUAUUAGGAGAUCGAGGAAAUAUGUGAGUAUAGACCACAUAAGGGUCGCAUUUGGACUAUGAUUGGUUGAGUAGCACUCCUAGAUAGUUAUGAUAUGACAAAAUGUGUCAAUUAUUUGCAUUGCUCGGGGACAUGGCUAUAGAUGAUGGCAAUCAAACCCGUGCGGUAAUGGAGUGGAUUGAAUGCAAUAAGUGAGCCUUGAAGACAAUGAGGUCGAGUUGCGAAAGUAAUGGCACGUCCCAGCAAGAAGUUCAAACGGCUUUGGAUGCUAGAGUAUCACAGCAUACCAGUAGAGAAAGCAUACAUUAUCGAACAUCUCGAAGAGAAAAGGUGCACUGUAGAAAUUUCGAAAGAAAAGCCCUUUGAAAUCAAGUUCCAAUAAACCAAAGGUAAGUUGUCUUAAUUAAUUUAUUUAGUAUGGAAGUGCGUACGGGUACUAGUGACGAUACAUUAGGAAAUUUGCAGGCAACCCCGAGUUCAGCAAAUGAAAGAAGACUGAAGACACGAUAAUGUGAACUAGGAGAUGGUGCAUCAGAUGUUCAAGCACAUCAAAAAGCACAACACCAAAUUUCGGCACCGAUCUCAUGUUCACAACUCUUACUAGUUCGUAUAAUAAGAUUGUUCAAUGCAUUUGGUUGACACUUUUUACUUACAUUUUUAUUUGAUGUAGGGUGAAAACGAUAGUAAUGUAUUUGUACAAAACUCAUAGUCUCCCAAUUUUAUCCCUCCGGCUUCACCAAAUGUUAUAUUCAAUAGUCUAAGGUAAUGAUAUGGUGAAAAUAUGUAAUUUAAAAUCCUGAAUUUCUCCAGUUUGUGUAUUAACUUUAAAGUUUGUCGGUAGAAAAUGCAAUGCCAUACUACUAUCCAAAUGUACCUAAUCAACAUGGUGAACACUUGUGAUAUUGGAUGAAGACAAUGGCUGGACUAAUGUGGACUACAGACAGUUCUUCAGUAUGUAAUUGUAUUUGAUUGAAAGUGCAAAAAAGUUGUUUAAUGUAACAACUAACAAGUGUAGUUUAUAUUUUUGCCUACUAUUUAGUGGCUGUUUAUUAAUAUUUUGAUGUAUUUAGUUUGAGUUCUUCAAAUACUUGUACUAAAUUAUUGAAGUUUGGCUGAAAACUCCACGA